UAACGUUGGUAACGGAAUUGGUUAAACGGUGAUAAGUGGAUUUUGCUGCUUGGAAAGUACCAAACUGUUCGAUUCUCGAUUUGACGGCGCUAGCUACUGCUACUACAGCUAGGAGGAGACCAUUUUGUUCUGGACAAAAGCAGGCUGUUAGGGGAUUGUCACAGCGACAGCGAACAUUACACUAGAGGGACUAUGCUACUUGGAUCGACAAACGCUGUUUUCAGUAACAAAGAAAAAGCCUUUGCGCCAGGUGACAGCAACAAGUUCUCACACGCUCGGAAAAUCGUCUCUUCGGUUUUUCGCUCUCUUCGCCGGAACGGCCUGCUCCGAAUCGUGCCGAAAGUGCCAAAUACUACCGCAGGCAACAAGGACUUGAGUGUAUUAGAAAGAGAUUAAAGAGCAACCGGGCACACAGCAAUAAAGAAAAAAACAACACUCGAGUCCACUUUUUUUGCGGUUCGAACUUUUUGAUCCUCUUUCACGGUCAUACUAAGUCCGAUGAGGAUGAUGAUGAGACAAACAAAAACACCGGCCCCCCGCGAUGGAACGGGGGAAUCCCCUUCACCCUCGCGCCAUUGCCUUUUAUCGCACGACGAUAACGAGGGAAGGGAAAAAAAAAUAGCGAAACAAUCAAAUCACUACCCCUUCACGCAUACACCAAUGGGGCGCAGCUGAGCAGCAUAAAAAAUUCCGCGACAUACACGCAACGCACACUAGUUACUAGCUGUUGUGGCACACUUCUGCGUUCCCUUCUGGUUCUUCGAUGCCAGAGAAUGGA
This is a long non-coding RNA of Anopheles darlingi, 778 nucleotides long. RefSeq lists it as uncharacterized. The record is from RefSeq and is a predicted model, not a curated record. NCBI's taxonomy places the organism in Eukaryota, Metazoa, Arthropoda, Insecta, Diptera, Culicidae. The transcript is spliced from 2 exons.